AUGUUCCCUAUGGUAACUAGGUUCAUGAGUUAUGGUCAACAAACAAUACGUGCUACAAGGUACAUAGGUCAUAGUUUCAUAACUACCUUAUCCCACACAAAUCUUUUACCUAUAACGAUUCACUACCCUUAUGAAAAAUCAAUUACACCAGAGCGUUUCCGAGGGCGAAUCCACUUUGAAUUUGAUAAAAGUAUUGCUUGUGAAGUAUGUGUUCACGUAUGUCUGAUAGAUUUACCCGUUGUGGAUUGGAGAUUUGAAAAGGAUAUUAAAAGAAAACAAUUGCUUAAUUAUAAAUAUGAACUUUCUACCUAUGAUCGUCAUGAAUUGAAUUACAAUCAAAUUGCUUUAAGUCGGUUACCAAUCUCCAUAAUGGGAUAG
RNAcentral lists this ribosomal RNA (378 nucleotides) under Triticum aestivum (bread wheat). RNAcentral's name for it is "partial small subunit ribosomal RNA". Lineage: Eukaryota; Viridiplantae; Streptophyta; Magnoliopsida; Poales; Poaceae. The record is from RNAcentral.